CAGAGAAAUGGUUCUAAAGUAUAAGCCAAUUAUACGGGCGAAACUGCGAAUGGCUCAUUAUAUAAGUUAUCGUUUAUUUGAUAGUAUCUUGCUACUUGGAUAACCGUGGUAAUUCUAGAGCUAAUACAUGCUAAAAAUCCCGACUUCGGAAGGGAUGUAUUUAUUAGAUUAAAAACCAAUGCCCUCUGGGCUCUCUUGGUGAAUCAUGAUAACUUCUCGAAUCGCAGGGCCUUGCGCCGGCGAUGGUUCAUUCAAAUUUCUUCCCUAUCAACUUUCGAUGUUUGGGUAGUGGCCAAACAUGGUUGCAACGGGUAACGGAGGGUUAGGGCUCGACCCCGGAGAAGGAGCCUGAGAAACGGCUACUACAUCCAAGGAAGGCAGCAGGCGCGCAAAUUACCCAAUCCCGAUCCGGGGAGGUAGUGACAAUAAAUACUGAUACAGGGCUCUUUUGGGUCUUGUAAUUGGAAUGAGUACAAUUUAAAUCCCUUAACGAGGAACAAUUGGAGGGCAAGUCUGGUGCCAGCAGCCGCGGUAAUUCCAGCUCCAAUAGCGUAUAUUAAAGUUGUUGUGGUUAAAAAGCUCGUAGUUGAACCUUGGGCCUGGCUGGCCGGUCCGCCUCACCGCGUGCACUGGUCCGGCCGGGCCUUUCCCUCUGUGGAACCCCAUGCCCUUCACUGGGUGUGGCGGGGAAACAGGACUUUUACUUUGAAAAAAUUAGAGUGCUCCAGGCAGGCCUAUGCUCGAAUACAUUAGCAUGGAAUAAUGAAAUAGGACGUGCGGUUCUAUUUUGUUGGUUUCUAGGACCGCCGUAAUGAUUAAUAGGGACAGUCGGGGGCAUCAGUAUUCAAUUGUCAGAGGUGAAAUUCUUGGAUUUAUUGAAGACUAACUACUGCGAAAGCAUUUGCCAAGGAUGUUUUCAUUAAUCAGGAACGAAAGUUAGGGGAUCGAAGACGAUCAGAUACCGUCGUAGUCUUAACCAUAAACUAUGCCGACUAGGGAUCGGACGAUGUUAUUUUUUGACUCGUUCGGCACCUUACGAGAAAUCAAAGUGCUUGGGCUCCAGGGGGAGUAUGGUCGCAAGGCUGAAACUUAAAGAAAUUGACGGAAGGGCACCACCAGGGGUAAACCUGACCUGUGAAGCCGCAGUCAACUCUGCUCCAGAAAGCCGCCCGAAAGGGUCGGUGGUGUUCCUAGGGGAGAGCUCUCCCCUAAACUAAUGGCUAGUCCUGCCGCCCGCGGCAGGGCGACACCCUCAAACUGACGGGGAACUCCUAAAGCCCUCGCUCCGGACAGGCGUCGGGAAACCGACGGCCUGCUCACCAGGCUAACGACCUCGGGUAUCGGAAGCAACGCGAGAGGAUGCUACAAUGGACAAUCCGCAGCCAAGCCCCUACGGUGCGGCCUCUACGGGGGUCGCAUACGGGGAAGGUUCAGAGACUUGACGGGGGUGGGUGGCGCGGGCUCUUGGGGUGCAAGCCGCGUGCUUGCUUGCAGGCCCAGGCGCCCGCCGCUGCCUAAGAUAAAGUCCGGGCGUGCGCGAAAGCGUGCGCGGCAACCACGCAACCCGCCGUUUCCAGCGGGUGCGAGGCCCCAGAAGUAAAAACAACCGGGAGCCUGCGGCUUAAUUUGACUCAACACGGGGAAACUCACCAGGUCCAGACACAAUGAGGAUUGACAGAUUGAGAGCUCUUUCUUGAUUUUGUGGGUGGUGGUGCAUGGCCGUUCUUAGUUGGUGGAGUGAUUUGUCUGCUUAAUUGCGAUAACGAACGAGACCUUAACCUGCUAAAUAGCCCGUAUUGCUUUGGCAGUACGCCGGCUUCUUAGAGGGACUAUCGGCUCAAGCCCAAGGAAUG
RNAcentral lists this ribosomal RNA (1853 nucleotides) under Ustilaginoidea virens. RNAcentral describes it as "SSU rRNA". It matches the Rfam family "Eukaryotic small subunit ribosomal RNA", at positions 59 to 1444 of the family's 1831-position model. Lineage: Eukaryota; Fungi; Ascomycota; Sordariomycetes; Hypocreales; Clavicipitaceae. The record is from RNAcentral.